This is a long non-coding RNA of Chlorocebus sabaeus (green monkey), 6171 nucleotides long. RefSeq lists it as uncharacterized. Lineage: Eukaryota; Metazoa; Chordata; Mammalia; Primates; Cercopithecidae. The record is from RefSeq and is a predicted model, not a curated record.
GAAGAGAGAUUUGUUGCUAGCAACAAGUACUUAGAACGUGUGUGAUUUGGCAUGUCUCGAACUGUGAAGUAGAUGCAAUGCAGGCAAAAAAUUGAUGAUGCUACGGGGAGGGGCUGUGUAGGGUGUUAAUCGCCAUCUGCAGUGCCUGGAGGUGGGGUGGGGAGAAGUGAAGAAUCUCUUCCUUUUUAAUAGAUUUUCAAGAUGGGAAAAUCAUAUUGCAACCCACAGGCAUUUGGAAACAAUUUGUGCUGAAGACAGAAAGUACACCUAACGUUAAGCUGAAAACACUGGACGCUCCCAGCAAACUCACUUUGCAGAUUCCUGGAUGUCAGAAGAAAAUGCCAGAGGAUUUCACUUGGCAUUGACCCCUUACUACUUCCAGCCACUUACCCUGGACAGUAGACAGAAGGAACAGAAAGCAGAGUAGCUUAAGAGGAGGCUUUGUUACAGGGUCAACUUCUCGGUGCAUGGCUCCUUCCAGUCUGAUAAGAACCAUCGCUCAGCCUUCAGACGAACAGAGCAUGGGAAAAGUUGAGGAUCAGAGACGUGAAGAGAUUUAGCUCAGAUGGAAUGACUGGGAAGUAGGGAAGAAAACAGAAAAGCGCACUGGUGCCCUCCUGCAAAUGCAGCAUCUGUCCCACCUCCAUGCAGUCAAGCAAAGCAGAGGGAAUGUGAACCAAAAACUUUAAGAUGAGGUGAGGGGAAGACCCCAAAGGACCACUGACUGACACUAACUCUGGGACCAAUGGCAGGGCCCACAGCAUUGACAAAUCAAUGGUGACUGCUCACAGCCUUUGGUACUUGUGUACCACGGAUUGCAUCAGUGGAGUUUCUCUUACAGAUAAAUGUACCUACUCUGUGUAUGACUGACCCAAAGCAAUGCCUUGCCAGCCCAGAGCUGCCAUAGCAAAAUACCACACACAGAGUGUCUUAAACAACAGAGUUUUAUUCUCUCACACUCUUGGAGGCGAGAAGUCCAAGAUCAAGGUGGCAAUUUCAUUCCUGGUGAGGGCUCUCUUCCUGGUUUGCAGACAGCUGGCUUCUGGCUGUGUCCUCACAUGGCCUUUCCUCUGAGUGUGCAUGAAAAGAGACAGGGGGAGACAUCCCUGGUGUCUCCUCCUGUCUUUACGAGGCUACCAGUCCAAUUGGAUUAGGGGUCCACCCUUGUGAUCCCACUUAACCUUAAUUACCUCCUAAAAGCCUAUCUCCAAAUAUAGUCAUAUUGAGGGGUUAAGACUUUAACGUACGAAUUUGGUGGGGACACAGUUCAGUCCACAGCAAGUCCAGACAAUAUAUAGCUGACUCACUUAGUGUUUGGACCAUUCCCCUUACAAGCCCUUUAUUAUUUUCAUGUACCCAGAUCCAGCUGUGCUCAAGCAGCAGCUGUAUCUCUUUAUCAGAGAGCUGCCCUCAGUCCAGAAACUAUUUUGAUAGUGCAAUAAUGAAGAUUGACUUCCUUCUAGAAAUGACAGUCUUUAACUGGUGAAUGACAGGUGAGAGGGAGGUGUAAAUACUCCAGCUUCCUUGGUCCCUGGCCAGGACAGCAGUGACAGUACACAGGAAGAUCUGGAGAGACGGUAAGUCACAUCUCAGCAUUUCCUUUCCUGAGGCUUUGCUCAGUGUUGCACCUUGUCCCGGCGUCCUCCUUUCCUUGUGGGGCCCACUUCUCACCAGUUUUUCCUGGCAAUAUUCCUUAAGUGAAUCACUCAGUGUCUGCUUCUGGGGAGUCCAACCUCAGACAACACAAGACCCAAGUGGGAAUAUUAGUUCCAACACCCAGAAUCAACCCAGCAUCCCCUCAGCUUAGAAGAUUUCUCAACAUUUUGAGGUUCAGGCUUUGUAGGUCAUUUCAUAAAGAUUCUCAGAGUGAAAUAAUCUAUAAUCCUGUUACACAAGCAUAAUAGGCAACUGUUUUCCCACUCUACAGGGUCUUCUAGAAGAUCCCAGCUCAAAGUCAGUACCAAGGCCCCAAGGGAAAUUCUGCUUCCUCAGUCUUAAUUUGGAACAACCCAGGCCUUGGCCAAAACUUGCAACCAAGACACUCACAAAUCAGAUCGUGUUCCCCUCUCCCUGUAGCCGAGCAAAUAUCAAAGUCAACUGGGGCUUUGUAUAGCAUUCACCAACUUUGGAAAACUUUUCAAAAAUUGUUUUAGUUUCUUUUUUAUUGUCUCCUCAGAGUCUGGUAAUUCUGGAAAAAGGCCUGUAGAUUGCCACUUGGGGAGUCCAGCAGAAAACUAAUCCUGCAACUCCAGAAAGCUGGACAGUGAUCCCGCUUUUUCCUUUACUGGGAGCUGUCAGCUCUCUCCUUCUGCCUGGCCCUUGGAGCCUUGGGAUUGACUCCUAUUGCUCUGCAGAGCAGACUGCAUUGGCCACAGUGCAAAGGGUAAAACCAAUGAUUCAAAUGGGGAGAACUGCAGUUACUCGAGCUUCUCCUGCCUUCUAUUUACAUAAACUUCAAGAACAUCUAGUUUAGGAGAAGCAUUCACAUUUGAUUCAACAUGACACACUCCCCAGGAAACUUUCCACAGUGCCCACAUCACUAGAGCCUGGACUUGCUAUGAUCACCAUGGCUCUUGGGCCAACUCUGGGAACAUUCCGAAGAUACAAGCUUGGGCCAGAAGCCUAGAGAGAAAUACCCAGAAGUCCUACGGGUUAUUCCAUCUCAGUACACACUUCUCAGACAAGGGCUUGUAGGAAGGCAGAUACGACGGGAAAGGAGGUCUCAGGAAAGCUCUCCAAGUCCCAUUUCUUAGUCUUAGCUUCCCCUGUUGAAGGUACUGAUGGCCUUGGAAUGGUGGACUGGGACCUGGAUUUUCAUGUAUAGUUUAGUUUCUACAGAGGGUGCUUCCCAAGCUUUGUGAAGGAAAGAAGCUCUGUGGGAAGGAAAAAGAUGGAAGUGGGGAGAGGAAAGGAGAAGCAGUCGGUAGCAAGGUUUGCCUUGUAUAGGUCGUGACUUAUUUAAGUUUUGCUGGACAUGUGUUUUAGGGCCUUGUUUUCACCGUCAACGCACAGAUCUGAGGGCGGCCUAGUGAGCACAUCCCCCUGCCUCCCCCCACCGCAGGAGUGUUUGUGUUGGAGGAGGGAGUGUUAAAUUCCAACCUCAGUACAACUCUUGAAGACUCUGCCAGUUCAGGUAUGGCAAACAACAAAAUGUGUUGUUGCUUUUCUUUUCUCUUUCCUUUCUUGCCAAUCAGAGUGAAUGGAUUCUGAGCUUUCACUGGUGUUUAAAUUAAUUUUUGAUGAAAAAAUAAAGUUGGUGGCGGGGGAGUGGGAGUUAAAAUUACAGCCUGCUCUAUAAAGGCAAAGUAAUUUCUGGAAGGUCAUGAGCUGCCACUGGCAAGCAUGGCCUGGAGUUAGGAACAAUGUACUUGCUGUUUCAGGAGCAAAUCCAGGCUGGAGUAGGCUCUCUCCACAUAACUCUGGAUUGGAUUUAGUUCUGGAUGCAUGCAGGCCUCUCUGGCAGCUGAUGGACAAGCUAGGACUGUAUGAGCAUUGGCCUGUCACUGGCCUAGACUUUAUUCUUUAGUCCUGAGGCCACAGCAUUUCAUGUGGACUUAUGAUUCCAGUGAGAGAGGGAGAGUGGAGAAGAAACUGGCGUGGCCCCUUGGCUCCUUUAUUACCUACGAUAGUGCUUGGCGUGCCAUAGGUGCUCAUCGUGUGCAUGUUGAGUAAAGAACUUACCAAAGCAGCCCUAUUCUCUAAGUCGUUCACUGAGGAGGUGAAAGUAAGAUACAGGGGGUGCUAUUAAAUGAGAGAAACACACAAGGAUCUUCUUAAUUUCUCGCUUCCUAAACCUAAAAAUUAGAUGUGCCAUUGAGCUUUGUGAGAAAGGGGAUGAAAGAAGCAUUACUUGAAGUGAGUCAUCCAUGCUUGAUUGCCUCUACUCUAGGGGCAAGAAACCAGUUGGGUGUUGUGCAUAAGAACAUGGACCCUGCGGCCAGACUGCUUGGAUCAGUGUCCUCCCUCCACCACUUUGUAGCCAUCUGACCUCGGGCAAGUUCCUUCACUUCUCUAUGCCUGGGCUCCUCAUUUAUAAACUGGUGAUAUGAACACAGCCUAUGUUCUAGGAUUGCUGUGACACUUACAUAGAAAUAAGUCAACAUAUAUAUAGCACACAGAACAAUGCCAGGCACACAGCAGUGCUAUUUAUGGUCUUCUUCCUUCCUCCUCCUCCUCCUCCUCCUCCUCUUCCUCCUCCUCUUCUUACUUUAUGCCAUUCUAUCAGAUAAACACUAUUUUAUUUAUUUUAUAAUUUAGGAACUGAUUCUAAACUAUAUUAAGUAAUUUGUUUAAGGUCGAGCAUCUAGUGAGUGCUGGGCACUGUGUUGGAGCUUCAGUCUGUCUGAUUUCAAGGCCUGUGCUCCUGUCAAGGUGAGGUGUUUCACACAUCCCCUUCUUGCCAUCCUGGUGGCAUCCUCUCGACCACCAAAGCUUAUGAAAACAUGCCACUCAGGUUAGCUUCCACCGGACACUGACAGAGGAGCAAUUAUACCUGUGCCAAGGAAAGUUCUCAACGCCAGUAAGGGUUCUGGCUACUGUGGUAUACUUAGAGGAAAUGAAUUUAGGAAGUUUUAAUUAAGAUUUCAAGGAUGAGAAGAGGAAAAUAUGAAGGAGAUGGAAUAAAUAUUCUUCGACUUUGAUUGGGAGGGUCAAAAUGCCCUUUCGCUGUCUCAUGAAGAUUGAAGUUCUAGGAUUCAGGAAUAGAAUUCUUUGCUAUUGAGUAUUAAAAAGCAAUAGAGCUCCAAAUAUAUGCAAUCAAUUCAUCCCAUCUUUAGGGAAACCUAAAUCUAAGCCGCCUAGUAUAGAGAACCACUUGUCCUGUGAGUAAAACCACUUUUGCAAGACUUAACAGAGAAUAGGAGCAGGAAAGAGACCAACAUAAGGCAGUUGCUAGACAACAGAAUUGCUUUACAGUUCUGACUUCACAACCUCGUUUUCCUGACCUGAUAGUUCUGAGAUGAACUUCUCUGGGUGUAUCUAGAAUCUAUUUCUUCUGUGAGGUGGUCACUUGUAAGCCAUGUUUCUUUGUCCAGUAGCGUUUCAGUGCUACCUAAGCAUCUGUACGGCUAUUGUGUCUGACCUGCUGUGGUGAUUGAAACAUAUAGUUGGAACAGGAGGCAGUGUUUUUUUUUUUUUUCUCCAAUAGAUUUCUAAAACCUUUAAAUGAAGUAUUGCAUGUAUACAGAGAAUUACAUAGAUCAUAAGUAUAUAGUCCAAUGAGCUAUCACAAAAUGAAUGUACCUGUGUAAGUGCCACUCAGGUUAAAGAAUAGAGCAUUAUCAGCUCCCAAGAAACCCACUGAAUAUUCCAGUUUAUCAUGCUCUUCCUUCUCUCCAAAGGUUACCACUGUUCUGACUUAUAAUGCCAUCGGUUAGUUUUACUUAUAUUUGUAUUUGAGCCACAUAUAAUUAGAAUCAUACAUUCUGUAUCCUUUCAAUUCUGGCUACUUUCACUUACUGUUACAUUUGAAAGUUUCAGUAGAUUUGCAUGUAAAAGGAGUUCAUGUAUUUUUAUUGCUGAAUAGUUUUCCAUUCUAUAAAUAUACUAUGAGUUAUUUACCCAUUCAACUGUCCAUUUAAUGGUUAUUUAAGUUGUUUAAAAUUUGAGGUUAUUAUGAAUAAUGCUGCCACGAACAUUCUUAUACAUGUCUUUUGUGUAUAUUUCUGUGGGAGUACAUAUCUGCAAGUGGAAUUGCUGAGUCAGAAAGUAUGCAUAUAGUACUUAGCGUUAGAGGAAACUUGCCAAAGAGUUUUCCAAAGUGGAAAUGUGCCAGUUUAUGCUUCCAUCAACAGUAUGUAUGUUCAAAAUCCUUGCUAACAUUUGGUAUUGUCAGGCUUUUAAAUUAUGAUCAUUGCAGUAGGUGUGUAGUGGCAUGCCAUUGUGGCUUUAAUUUUUAUUUUCCUGAAGACUGAUAAAGUUGAGUACCUCUGAAAAUGUUAAUUGGCAAUUUGGCGACCUUUGGUGAAGUGUCUGAACAUGGCAUUGUGUUAUUUGUCUUCUUUAUUGAUUUGUAGUUUUUAUAUAUUCUGGACAUGCGUUAUAUGUGUUGCAAAUAAUUUCUCCAACUAUAUCGAUUGCCUCUUCGGUACUUUAGUGGUAUUUUGGGGUGAACAGAACGUCUUAAAAUUAAAGGACCGCAACAUAUCUUUGCCUUUGUGAUUAGGACAUUUU